This 30-nucleotide non-coding RNA is filed under the name Homo sapiens (human). The record is from RNAcentral. Lineage: Eukaryota; Metazoa; Chordata; Mammalia; Primates; Hominidae.
UCAAGUAGAGGUACUUGUGGAAAGGACCGA